RNAcentral lists this long non-coding RNA (1092 nucleotides) under Physcomitrium patens. RNAcentral describes it as "long non-coding RNA (PPAT_LNC001421)". The record is from RNAcentral. Lineage: Eukaryota; Viridiplantae; Streptophyta; Bryopsida; Funariales; Funariaceae.
UGAGGCUAUGUAGAAUAGAUAUUAGUUUGUUUCUGUAAGAUAUUGAUAAAAUAGACUAAUAGUCCAUAGAAUAGUCAAUUCAGGAGGACGGAUGAUUGAUUUAAUUAUUAAAAGCGAUUUAUUACAAGAUUACGAUUAGAAUCUGGAAAUCAGGAGAAAUUAUAUAGGAAUUGUAGAAGUUUAUUGGAGUACGAGACUGUGAUAGUCAUGAGUCGAGGUAAGCUUAGUGUUACCUCUUUGUUUCUUUUUAUUUCUUUGUUAUUGAAGAAUAAUGGAUAGUUUUUGAAUACUGAGAAGUGAGUCUAAAGAAUAAAUCAGGGAUUGAUUUAUGAGUUAUUGAUUAUAUAAUUGGAGUAUUAUGUGAUUGAAUUAUAUGAAAAGUUAUUGAAAGAUUGAUUAUAGAUAGAAGAUUAUGAUUGUUGUUUAUUGAGAGUUGUGUGUGUGUUUGGACAGAGGAAGUCUAUUGUAGAAUAAGUAGUUAUUUUCAGAAUGUAGAUACCUAGUGUAUAGUAUAAACAAGGAUAGAUAACUGCUAAAAAGAUGGUUCAACAGGUAGAAUAGAUGAAUAAUCAUGAAAAGUAGUUAUCAUCCGUAGUAUAGGAGUUGGUAUCUCGGGAUAGUAUAAGGAGAAUGGGAGAGAGGAAGAAAAUGCCAGACUGCGAUAGUAGUGAGCUAGGGAUAAGCUUGGUGCUAUCUCUUCUUCUUAGUUUUCUUGUUUCUUUUGUGUUAGUAUUGAUUCUAGUGAAGAAAAUCGAUUUAAUGAAUCAAUGUUUGAUUUAUGAAGUUGUUUAUGGAUCACUGUUUAUCAAUUGUUGUGAAAGAUUGAUGAUGUAUGGAAGUUUUUAGUCACUAUUUAUCACAAGGUUGUAAGUUCAGUGGAGAAGAAUUGUAAUCGAAGGAAUUAUCUAGAUCAGAUUCUAUAGAUUGGAAGUUAUUCGUUCCAGGGUUUGGGUUAUGUUUGUAUAUUUGUGAAUUACAUAGGGUACUGAAAUUGAUGUCGUGGUUGUUAUCGUAUUGAUAUGAGAGAAUGGACAGUAGGAGAAAAAAUUAAGUGUUCUUUGGUAUGGUAAGCAUUCAACAGUAGCGGUUAAU